UCUGCACCUAUUAUUUGAUCCGAAAAGCGUAAGUUUUUCUAACCCGAAUCCGGCUAGAGGAGGGCUACAGAUCGAGUAAUGCGUGUAGAGUACACGAGCGGCGGACGGCUGAGUAACACGUAGGAACGUACCCCAAACUGAGGGAUAAGCACCAGAAAUGGUGUCUAAUACCGCAUGUGCUCUAAGGAGUAAAGCUUCGGCGGUUUGGGAACGGCCUGCGCAUGAUUAGCUUGUUGGUGAGGUAAUAGCUCACCAAGGCGACGAUCAUUAGCUGGUCUGAGAGGAUGAUCAGCCAGACUGGGACUGAGAACGGCCCAGACUCCUACGGGAGGCAGCAGUAGGGAAUUUUCCACAAUGGGGGCAACCCUGAUGGAGCAACGCCGCGUGCAGGAUGAAGGCUCUAGGGUCGUAAACUGCUUUUAUAUGUGAAGAUUAUGACGGUAGCAUAUGAAUAAGGAUCGGCUAACUCCGUGCCAGCAGCCGCGGUCAUACGGGGGAUCCAAGCGUUAUCCGGAAUUACUGGGCGUAAAGAGUUGCGUAGGCGGCAUAGUAAGCGAGUAGUGAAAUGACGUGGCUCAACCAUGUGUCCAUUACUUGAACUGCUAAGCUAGAACAUGAGAGAGGUGGCUGGAAUUCCCUGUGUAGGAGUGAAAUCCGUAGAUAUAGGGAGGAACACCGAUGGCGUAGGCAGGCCACUGGCUCAUUGUUGACGCUCAGGCACGAAAGCGUGGGGAGCGACCGGGAUUAGAUACCCCGUUAGUCCACGCCGUAANCGAUGGAUGCUAGCUGUUAGACGUAUCGACCCGUCUAGUAGCGAAGCUAACGCGUUAAGCAUCCCGCCUGUGGAGUACGAGCGCAAGCUUAAAACAUAAAGGAAUUGACGGGGACCC
This 890-nucleotide ribosomal RNA is filed under the name uncultured bacterium. RNAcentral describes it as "bacterial SSU rRNA". It matches the Rfam family "Bacterial small subunit ribosomal RNA", at positions 72 to 922 of the family's 1533-position model. The record is from RNAcentral.